Molecule: long non-coding RNA, 5626 nt
Organism: Ictalurus punctatus (channel catfish)
Lineage: Eukaryota; Metazoa; Chordata; Actinopteri; Siluriformes; Ictaluridae
Source: Ensembl
AAGGAACGCUGUUGUCCUGCUGCGUUCUGACCGCUGUGUUGAAGGUAAAAACUCUUGUUUUGCACUUGGAGAAUAAAUUCUCACGUCUCUGUCCAUUCAUCUUACAGCCUUUCGCACGCGGUGUCCUCACUGUAAGGCUGUUUUUAGGAAAAUAUCAGAUCUUUACUGUAAUUGAACAUAAAUCUAUCAACUGAUUUCUGUUGCUUUCUGCACAAAACGUCAGCCAAUGAGUUUUAAGAAUUUUUUUCUCCUCCUUGCAUUGCGCAGUCCUAACUGUACAUGUCCGUAAUAUUGCUGUGUUUUGUUCAGAAAUAAAGAAAAAUAAUCUAUCAUUUUGGUUACGAACAUUAAAUAUUUAGAUCUGAACGUUUGGCUGCGUCCGCAUUAAUCCGGAUAUAUAUUUGAAAACGCAUCUGGCCUUCUCUCCACACCCAGACGCCAUUUUUUCCAUCAAAAACGAAACUUCUUUGAAAACACUCACCCAAGUGCAUGACCUUAAACACGCCUUGUAGUGCGCACUGAGAAAACGGAGAUAUCUGAAAGCGAUGAGGUAUUUUUAGUCAUGUGACCCAUUCGGUUGGAAUCAAACAGACGGUGGACGAUGUUGUGCUGCGGUUGUUGCGCCCGAUAUCCAGUUUGAUAGCGUUGUUGAAGAUUCACGUCGCUUUCUACAACCUUCAGAUUUCAUGUUUACGUAAACGCGGACGGAACCGGGGUCGGGUUUUUCCGCGCGUGCGGUACGAGGAAGUGUGCGUUUCAGUGUGGACGAGCGAUUUUUGGAAAACGCCAGUGUAGACACGAGCGUUUUAAAAAAACUAAAUACAGUUUUCAGAUUAUUUUUCCAGAUUAACGUCUUUGUUUACAGACACGGUGAAAGAUUUUUUUAUCAGGUUUUUUUGUGUUCCUACACAAUUUUUUUAAACAAGUGAUAUUUCCACAAAGUGAAAAUUCAUAUGAAAUUCAAUUUUAAGUAAUAGUAAUGUUUAAAGAACAUUAUUUUAAAUAAUUUACACAUGAAAGGAUGAAUUUUUUUUUUUAGAUAUAUAUCAUCACUUCACAAUAUAUAUAUUUUUUAACUUCCCUUUGUGACGACCCCCUGUAUUUACUUUGAUGAGUCAUCUUUAGCUAACUCGCUGACAUAAUCGUGUGUAAAGGGGUGAACCGGAACAGACGAUCUGCUACAGAAGCUGAACCGGUUCAUGUUUAGAAAACCAGCGUGGCUGAGGGUUUUACUGAUUAUUUAUGUAAUGAAAUACCUGACUGUAAUCCGCAUCGUUGAUGACGUCUGCACCAGAGUGCUGCGAUUAUUUAAACGACGACUUCAUCCACGUUCUAAACUCCGUCUAGUCGUCUCUUGUCCUGAUUUCUGGGACGUGUGUAAGACAAGUGUAGCGACGGAGCGAACGUGAGCCGUGUGUUUUAAGGCAGAUUCGAAGCAGAUGUUGAGGGUCAGACUUUCCGGGGCCUGUUGGGCCGCUGCAUAUUUUCCAUGGUGCAGUGCUGCGAGUGCCGUUAAGUGGAUUUUAAUAACACUCCUCUAAUGAAAUGAUGGAGGGACCGAAGGACGCAGGGAUGGUGGCGAGAGGAAACGCGUCCUGCAGCCGUAGCAGCGUCUCCGGAUGGUCGCUUUCUUUUAAAAAGGAAGAAAAACAGCUCGAAUGUGAUGUGUUUGGAUAUUAAACGAUUCCGGAACGUAUAAUUACAACAUUAUCUCAUGUUUCUGGAAUAUGAAUUCAGAGCGCAGGCGGAAUAUGUGAUACAACCUCACAUUACCGCCAGUCCUGCGUCUCAGACCUGUAAAAGCGUUCAUGAUUUCCAUCUAUAUAUUAUUUAUUUUUUAAUUCCUUCCUUCUUCUCGGGGAAAAAAAAACCCCACGGUAUGAAUUUUUGUUAAAGAGCAGAAAAAUUCCCUACUAAACCCUAUUAAGCUGUUCAACGUCACAGAUGUGGCAGAUGUGUAGAUAAAACAAGUGCACAUUCAUCUUUUUGUGACACGUCCUUGAGGUUUUUUCCACUGUGCACCACUUUAUUCGCCGAGCCGUUGCUUUUUGUACACACGCUGACGAUCAGAUCGAACUCUUUAUGUUUAUGGAGGUUUAUGGAGGUUGGAAAAGUCUGAUCAAAACAAGCCUGGGUUCAAUAUCUAAGUGUUAUAUGACAGGAUUAAAUAUCUAAGCGAAGAUAAGAUAAGGAAAACUUUUAUUACCACGUCAUGUGGAAGCGCCACAGCGGCAUAUGAUUAAGAGUAAAAAGAAGUGAGGUAGAAAUAAAUAAAUAAUAUAUAUAUAUAUAUAUAAAUACAAAUCUGCAGAAUGAAAUAUACACGGUGAUAGAAAAGAACAUCCGAAUGUGUGACGGAAGUUUAGAGCUUAUACGCAGGUUGUUGUGUAAUGUACACGCUGAACAUAUACACACAGUAAAUCGUACACACGCAGUACGUACUGACUCUGUACAGACACCAGUUCAUUGCGUUAUUGCUCUGGGAAUUCUGUUCACCUUGUACAUUACACAAUAAAGCGAGUGAGCGCGGGAAGAGUGUCAGGACGGACUGAUCUGCGUGUAGAGACCACAGGGAUUAUAUCUCCUUCUCCGCAGUAGUUAGAGGAACACUGAGUUCCUGUAGCGUGUAAGUGCAGGUGCUUCUGUGCUUUAUUCUGGUCUGUUUACAUUUUUUCGACUUUUCUGCUGAUAUUAAUACAGAUUACGUGCGUCACCUCGUCAGGGUUUUGUGCUGAAACACGGAAGCAGUUCUCACACACGUUCGGGUAAAAAAAGAAAAGCAAGACGCUAAACGAGGGCCGGUUGGAUCCGUGUUCGGAGGACGAGGCUAAUUAAACCACGGCUGUUAGCUGGUGUUGAGGCUGAGGCAUGAUCUGGGUUUGAUGAUAUGCGUGGUAGAUGACCCGAGCUAUUAAAGUGUCCAUUUUCCUGUUAGAGGGAAGCUAAUAAGCAUGAGUGUGUAAAACGUCCCUAAACUAGCUCUGCUGCUCGAGCGUGUAAGAUGUGUAAGCGUGAAAGAGGACGUCUCGGCCGGCAUUUCAUACGUUUUGAUUAAACCGAAUCUCCUAUACACUCACUGUGUACGACUGUGCGUUUAAUCAUAUUAUAACCUGUGUUUGUUAUAUCCUAGUCCGCCUUUAGAACAACAUGACAAUGCAUGCUGAAUCUGAUUUACUGUACUACUGCAAACUUCAGACCAGCUAUAAAGAAUUCUGUGUAUUUUUGCAAAGCGGUAUCGAAGUUGUUCAACGCUGCAUUUAGCGCGCUUCCCAUACUGUUAUGCUCUCGUUCCCUUCUCAGGGAACAGGGUUACAUGCGCAACCCCGACGUUUACAUGAUGUCAGUCUUUCACACUGUGCACGUCCGUACAGUAAAGUGCGUAAGCUCUUCGUUGUCGCUAGUCAACCACGCUCCAUUCAACUACGUCACAUUCUAAAGAGCUUCGAAGAUCUUUAAUUAAAUAAAUGAUCAUGUAAUAAAUCCUUGCUAUUUAAAAUAAAUAAAUAAAUAAAUAAACGACCCCCCCCCCUACCUCUGACAUUACUCUAAAUUUUUCAAUCAUUUUAAAAGGAUACGAAUCUACCCAUAGAUCUAUUUACACAAACAGACACAUAGCGGUACUGCCACUGCUCGCGCGAGUUCUCCCCAGGGCCGGUGAACGCAUCUGAAGAAGAGCGCUGAUGAUUGCAAUGUUGACCAAUCCAUGUUUACAUCGAAACAGAGGUGAACAGGAGCUAGUUUAUAAUCCACGUUGUAUUGAGGGGAAACAGCAAAAUGGUGCCAUGGGGGGUUUUUUACGUGCUAUUAAAAGCCCGGCGCCAUUUUUAUUUUUAUGUGCUUAAAAGGGAGCGGAACCUAAAAAAAUGCCACCAUAUUUUUUAAGUGCUUGAGGGGAUCCGCUAAAACAGAACCAAAAAGUGCUCAAAUUAUCACCAGUUGAGACGUUAAACUAGCAACCAACACAAAAAAUAUAGCGUACGUUUUAUCUUACACACUUUCGGUCAAUUAGAACAAAAAUAACUCUAAAUUGGCGGUUAUAACAUUUGUUCCCUGAUUAACAAGCCACCAGGUCCUGAAGUUCCAGGUCCUGAGGUUCCAGGUCCUGAGUUCCAGGUCCUGAGUUCCAGACAGCUCAGAACUAUAUGUAUGCAGUUAUAUGUACUCAUACUCAACUACAAUGAAUUAUUAUUAUUAUUAUUAUUAUUAUUAUUAUUAUUAUUAUCAGUUGUAAAAUAAUAAUUUAAAACAUGAUUAUGUUGGUGAAAACAUUAUGUUGAAUCAAUGUACAGAUCUUGGCAAAAAAAACUUUGAUUUAUGAGUAUUUUUUGACCUUUCCACAACUAUUUAGCAUCGAUCGUUGUUUAAUCGUUGUCUCAACGUUGAAAUGAUAACAUUAUUUCAACCGUAUGUCAAGGUUGAAGGUCGGUCAGGUACCGGCUGGGAUACUGGGGUACUGGGGGUACUGGGAUUCUGGCGUUCCGUAUUCCAGCUGUCAUAAAAUGUAUAACUCUUCUACACCAACUCACAGUCACUGGUCUUUCUUCUCUUAUUAGCUGAGUUUAAUUUGUGUAUAAAUUGAUGUAAAAAGAACAACAUCUUAUCCCUCUGUUCCACGUGCGAGUUAGCAAAAUGAAUCUUUUUUGUAAAUAAAUAAAACAGACUCCUCUUGGACACUAACACUGAUUGUAUACAUUUGAGUAUUUCGGUCACAUUUGUUAACACGCCUCUAAAAUGACAUUUUGUGCUUCUGAAACUUACUCGGAGACACGGCUACGUACGAGCUCGGUUUGUGAUGUCACAACAUGGCUUAAAUCAGUGACACCUGAUAUGCAGAAUAUUUUGGGAUAAGUCAGUAUCAGACAGUCUUGUGACCUAACUAAUAAGAGUGAUGUACUGUGGUUGUCAUGGUAACAUUGUUAUUGUCAGGGUAACGGUAUAGUUUGAUAGAUUUAGCUGCUGUUAAGUAAAUCAGUAAAAGUGAAAAUUAGGAUGUGUGAGACCCUUGAUCUUUAACAAGCCAGCUAGCUGUAAUUAAUCUUCAUGUGAUGAAUAUUUAUAGAAUAUUUUUGCAUUUUUAAUGAGGGUAAAGUUGUAGAGUUGUAUGUUACUGGGCUGUGUUAAUGGUUGUUAUUAUAUUUCUCAGCAUUAAAAAUAUUUUUGUAAACGUAUUAUUAUACACAGAUUAGCUGUACUUUAAACCCGGGCAUUGAAAGCCUCAUAUGAUCAUAGCAUCAGAUUUGAAGAACUCUAAACUGGGAGGCAGUGAUUAGAACCGGAUGCACCUGUUCUACACACACACACACACACACACACAUACCUACAUAAUGAGUAUAAAGGAGCACACCUAUGCCAGGUAGAAAGAUCAGGUACAUUUAUUCUGUUUCAGAAAUAUUAAAUACCAGAUUAGACUUAAGAGCUGCUGAACUCUGGCUUCUGAUUGGUCAGGAGGUGUCCAUUAAUUUUGUAACAGAAGCUCUGGCAGGAAUUGAGGAAGUUGCACUCAUGAUCAUUUUAAAGGUAUAAAGUGUGACAGGAGUGUGUGAGGAGUGUGUGGGGAGUAUGGAGAGUGUGAGGAGUGUGUGAGGAGUGUGUGGGGAGUAUGGGGAGUGUGUGGGGAGUGUGUGAG